UGCCAGCCGCCGCGGUAAUACGGAGGGAGCUAGCGUUGUUCGGAAUUACUGGGCGUAAAGCGUGCGUAGGCGGAUCGACAAGUUGGGGGUGAAAUCCCGGGGCUUAACCCCGGAACUGCCCUCAAAACUGUCGAUCUAGAGACCGGGAGAGGUAAGCGGAAUUCCUAGUGUAGAGGUGAAAUUCGUAGAUAUUGGGAAGAACACCAGUGGCGAAGGCGGCUUACUGGCACAUUUCUGACGCUGAGGCGCGAAAGCGUGGGGAGCAAACAGGAUUAGAUA
RNAcentral lists this ribosomal RNA (279 nucleotides) under uncultured bacterium. RNAcentral's name for it is "partial 16S ribosomal RNA". It matches the Rfam family "Bacterial small subunit ribosomal RNA", at positions 506 to 784 of the family's 1533-position model. The record is from RNAcentral.